UGCACGGUGGCUUAGUGGUUAGCACAUUCGCCUCACACACACACACCCCUCAAAGGUCGAGGGUUCGAUUCCUUGUGUGUGA
Molecule: non-coding RNA, 82 nt
Organism: Ameiurus melas (black bullhead)
Lineage: Eukaryota; Metazoa; Chordata; Actinopteri; Siluriformes; Ictaluridae
Source: the annotation of a GenBank genome assembly